Molecule: long non-coding RNA, 1218 nt
Filed under: Anser cygnoides (Swan goose)
Lineage: Eukaryota; Metazoa; Chordata; Aves; Anseriformes; Anatidae
Description: lncRNA (ENSACDG00005002452.1)
Source: RNAcentral
UGGAAGGGAUUACACGCUCUGCCCUUCGAAACCCAAUCCGGGCACAUGAAGUUUUUUGCAGAAUGGAUGUCAGGCCAGGGCAGAAGGUUUCAUGAGCUCUUGCGUCCGUUCCUUCUUUCUUGUCUGACUUGUGUCCAAAAUAAGGUGCUGGCAGCCAGCAAGUUGCUGCGUAUUGUGCAGGAGCGCUAACUUGUUAGAUGAGUGUUGAUUCCAGACUCAGCGUUCCCUCAGCUCUCACUUGUGACAGUGAUUGCCAAAGUUAGUGGUGAACUAGAUAACGUGGGAGGAACAAGCAUAAAGUACUCCUUUGGAUUCCUUUAAAAUUUUUGAGCAGUGACACUUCAUAUGGCCUUGUGUUCUUUAGAUAGCCUAAGGCCACGCAUUGGCUAAGGAAGAAUGCAGAGUCAUUAUUUCUCACUCUGUUUUCAGGCAUGAAACUAAAAUGUGACCUGUGCCAGAACCAAAGAGUUCAUUACUUGAGUAGUAACCAGGAUUGCUAAGAUCAAUUUUUUAAUCAGGGCUUGGUGAAAGACUAAGUUAGCAGAGUGGCUACAAUUUGCAGGAGGCCACCUCCAGGUCUUGAGAGAAAAAGACAGGAUGAGAGAGGCAGGGUGGCAGCUGUGCUGUUUUUCAGGAAAGGUUAAGACAGUGCUCUGGCACAGAGCGAGGGAAAGUGAUCUGCUGGAGGCACCUCAGCCCAAGCACUUGGGGGCAAUUGCCUAGGUGCUGCUUGAGCCUCACCAUUCCUGAAGCCACUGGCUCUGAUGGGGUUACGCCUGUGCCACACAGAAACAUUUAAGCUGAGGAGGAUCCAAACCUGCCUGUUAAGCCAGUAUUACUGAUGAAGGCUGGGGAAAAAACAACCCAUCCUAAAUGAAUUCAUCCACGAUGGAUCCAGGGUGGGCGGAGCCAUCACACGAAAAUGGACCUGGCUUACAUCUUGGCAUCUCAGAGGAGAAUUUUACCUGCCUGUUUAUUUCUUGCAUGGUGCUUCUCAGAAAACAAAUGGUCAACCUGGGAGUCGAACAGAGGCUUGCUGUCCCGAACCCAGGCCGAUACUGCACCCAAGCAGCUGCCCUGUCCUCUUCUCUACUGCUCAGUUACAGAAACUUCAUGUCUGAAACCUGAAACUCCUGGGUAAGCCAUUUAUGCCCAGCUCUGUUCCUUCACAAUCCAUCCAUUUGGGGAAGGAAUGAAAGCCUGCAGUCUGCCUCCUCC